AUUGAACGCUGGCGGCAGGCCUAACACAUGCAAGUCGAACGAGUGGCGGACGGGUGAGUAAUGUAUGGGAAACUGCCUGAUGGAGGGGGAUAACUACUGGAAACGGUAGCUAAUACCGCAUACCAUUGUCUGUGCCCAGAUGGGCUUAGGUGUUUGGUGGGGUAACGGCUCACAAAGGUUACGAUCCCUAGCUGGCCUGAGAGGAUGACCAGCCACACUGGAACUGAGACACGGUCCAGACUCCUACGGGAGGCAGCAGUGGGGAAUAUUGCGCAAUGGGCGCAAGCCUGAUCGAGCCAUGCCGCGUGUGUGAAGAAGGCCUUCGGUUUGUAAAGUACUUUCGGCAGGGAAGCGUUACCCGCAGAAAAAGCACCGGCUAACUCCGUGCCAGCAGCCGCGGUAAUAC
Molecule: ribosomal RNA, 406 nt
Filed under: uncultured bacterium
Lineage: Bacteria
Description: partial 16S ribosomal RNA
Rfam family: Bacterial small subunit ribosomal RNA
Source: RNAcentral